Molecule: ribosomal RNA, 393 nt
Filed under: uncultured bacterium
Lineage: Bacteria
Description: partial 16S ribosomal RNA
Rfam family: Bacterial small subunit ribosomal RNA
Source: RNAcentral
AUACGGAGGAUGCGAGCGUUAUCCGGAUUUAUUGGGUUUAAAGGGUGCGUAGGCGGCCUUGUAAGUCAGCGGUGAAAUUUUGCAGCUUAACUGUAAAAGUGCCGUUGAUACUGUGAGGCUAGGAUUUGGUUGCUGUGGGUGGAAUGUGUGGUGUAGCGGUGAAAUGCUUAGAGAUCACACAGAAUAUCGAUUGCGAAGGCAGCUCACAAAGCCAAGAUUGACGCUGAGGCACGAAAGUGUGGGGAUCAAACAGGAUUAGAUACCCUGGUAGUCCACACUGUAAACGAUGAUAACUCGCUGUCGGCGAUAUACAGUCGGUGGCCAAGCGAAAGCGAUAAGUUAUCCACCUGGGGAGUACGACCGCAAGGUUGAAACUCAAAGGAAUUGACGGGG